RNAcentral lists this unclassified non-coding RNA (240 nucleotides) under soil metagenome. RNAcentral's name for it is "partial contains 5.8S ribosomal RNA, internal transcribed spacer 2, and large subunit ribosomal RNA". The record is from RNAcentral.
AAGACUAUAGACCUGCGGAGUACCUGCGGAAGGAUCAUUAUUGAAUUAUGUUUCUAAAUGGGUUGUAGCUGGCUCGUCAGAGCAUGUGCACGCCUGUUUGGACUUCAUUUUCAUCCACCUGUGCACCUAUUGUAGUCUUUGGUUGGGUAUCAAGGAAGUGGUCAGCCUAUCAGCACUUGCUGGAUGUGAGGACUUGCAGUGUGAAAGCUUUGCCGUCCUUUACUUGAUCAUGGAGUUGUU